GGGCGAUUAGCUCAGUUGGUAGAGCAGUGCUUUUACACAGCAAAGGUCACAGGUUCGAAUCCUGUAUCGCCCACAA
Molecule: transfer RNA, 76 nt
Filed under: Candidatus Tayloriibacteriota bacterium
Lineage: Bacteria; Candidatus Tayloriibacteriota
Description: tRNA-Val
Rfam family: tRNA
About the family: Transfer RNA (tRNA) molecules are approximately 80 nucleotides in length. Their secondary structure includes four short double-helical elements and three loops (D, anti-codon, and T loops).
Source: RNAcentral